CCUCUUUCACUGUCAUGGGC
RNAcentral lists this unclassified non-coding RNA (20 nucleotides) under Mus musculus (house mouse). RNAcentral describes it as "oocyte_clustered_small_RNA13941". Lineage: Eukaryota; Metazoa; Chordata; Mammalia; Rodentia; Muridae. The record is from RNAcentral.